AACGUAGGUGGCAAGCGUUAUCCGGAAUUACUGGGCGUAAAGGGUGUGCAGGCGGGGUUGCAAGUGGGGGAUGAAAUAUCCCAGCUUAACUGGGAGGGGUUAUGCCAGACUGCAACUCUAGAGGACGAGAGAGGGGGGUGGAAUUCCGGGUGUAGUGGUGAAAUGCGUAGAGAUCCGGAGGAACCCCAGAGGCGAAGGCGGCCCCCUGGCUCGUACCUGACGCUCAGCCACGAAAGCAUGGGGAGCGAACGGG
Molecule: ribosomal RNA, 253 nt
Filed under: uncultured bacterium
Lineage: Bacteria
Description: partial 16S ribosomal RNA
Rfam family: Bacterial small subunit ribosomal RNA
Source: RNAcentral